GAUGAAGAACGUAGCGAAAUGCGAUACGUAAUGUGAAUUGCAAAUUCAGUGAAUCAUCGAGUCUUUGAACGCACAUUGCGCCCUUUGGUAUUCCUUAGGGCAUGCCUGUUCGAGCGUCAUUUAAACCUUCAAGCUAAGCUUGGUGUUGGGUGACUGUCCGCUUCACGGCGGACUCGCCUCAAAAUUAUUGGCGGCCGGUACAUUGGCUUCGAGCGCAGCAGAAACGCGAACUCGGGCCCGUCGUAUUGGCUCCCAGAAGCUAUCUUCACAAUUUUGACCUCGGAUCAGGUAGGGAUACCCGCUGAACUUAAGCAUAUCAAUAAGCGGAGGA
This 331-nucleotide unclassified non-coding RNA is filed under the name soil metagenome. RNAcentral describes it as "partial contains 5.8S ribosomal RNA, internal transcribed spacer 2, and large subunit ribosomal RNA". The stretch from base 1 to 119 matches the Rfam family "5.8S ribosomal RNA", at positions 35 to 154 of the family's 154-position model. The record is from RNAcentral.